UGGGGAAUAUUGCGCAAUGGGGGGAACCCUGACGCAGCAACGCCGCGUGAGUGAAGAAGGUCUUCGGAUCGUAAAACUCUGUCAUCGGGGACGAAGGAAGUGACGGUACCCGAGGAGGAAGCCCCGGCUAACUACGUGCCAGCAGCCGCGGUAAUACGUAGGGGGCGAGCGUUGUCCGGAAUUACUGGGCGUAAAGGGUGCGUAGGCGGUCUAUUAAGUCAGAUGUGAAAUACCAUGGCUUAACUGUGGCAUUGCAUUUGAAACUGGUAGGCUAGAGUGCAGGAGAGGGAAGUGGAAUUCCUAGUGUAGCGGUGAAAUGCGUAGAGAUUAGGAGGAACACCAGUGGCGAAGGCGGCUUCCUGGACUGUAACUGACGCUGAGGCACGAAAGCGUGGGGAGCGAACA
RNAcentral lists this ribosomal RNA (405 nucleotides) under uncultured Caldicoprobacter sp. RNAcentral describes it as "bacterial SSU rRNA". It matches the Rfam family "Bacterial small subunit ribosomal RNA", at positions 355 to 774 of the family's 1533-position model. Lineage: Bacteria; Bacillati; Bacillota; Clostridia; Caldicoprobacterales; Caldicoprobacteraceae. The record is from RNAcentral.